UCCCUGGUGAUUCAGUGGUUAGGAGUCUGCACCUUCACUGCUGGGGCCAGGGUUCAAUCCCUGGUCAGGGAA
Molecule: transfer RNA, 72 nt
Filed under: Ovis aries (sheep)
Lineage: Eukaryota; Metazoa; Chordata; Mammalia; Artiodactyla; Bovidae
Rfam family: tRNA
About the family: Transfer RNA (tRNA) molecules are approximately 80 nucleotides in length. Their secondary structure includes four short double-helical elements and three loops (D, anti-codon, and T loops).
Source: Rfam by way of RNAcentral